AACGCGAAGAACCUUACCUGGGCUCGAAGCACAGUGGACCGGGGUAGAAAUAUCCCUUUUCGCAAGAACUGCUGUGGAGGUGCUGCAUGGCUGUCGUCAGCUCGUGUCGUGAGAUGUUGGGUUAAGUCCCGCAACGAGCGCAACCCUUGUUACCAGUUGCCAUCAUUCAGUUGGGCACUCUGGUGAGACCGCCUCGGAUAACGGGGAGGAAGGCGGGGAUGACGUCAAGUCCUCAUGGCCUUUAUGUCCAGGGCUACACACGUGCUACAAUGGCCGGUACAAACCGUCGCAAACCCGCGAGGGGGAGCUAAUCGGAAAAAGCCGGCCUCAGUUCGGAUUGCAGUCUGCAACUCGACUGCAUGAAGCUGGAAUCGCUAGUAAUCGCGGAUCAGAACGCCGCGGUGAAUACGUUCCCGGGCCUUGUACACACCGAGACGAC
This 439-nucleotide ribosomal RNA is filed under the name uncultured bacterium. Its description in RNAcentral is "bacterial SSU rRNA". It matches the Rfam family "Bacterial small subunit ribosomal RNA", at positions 958 to 1398 of the family's 1533-position model. The record is from RNAcentral.